RNAcentral lists this ribosomal RNA (253 nucleotides) under uncultured bacterium. RNAcentral's name for it is "partial 16S ribosomal RNA". It matches the Rfam family "Bacterial small subunit ribosomal RNA", at positions 524 to 776 of the family's 1533-position model. The record is from RNAcentral.
UACGGAGGGUGCAAGCGUUAUCCGGAUUCACUGGGUUUAAAGGGUGCGUAGGAGGGCAGGGAAGUCAGUGGUGAAAUCUCCGGGCUUAACUCGGAAACUGCCGUUGAUACUCUCUGUCUUGAAUACCGUGGAGGUGAGCGGAAUAUGUCAUGUAGCGGUGAAAUGCUUAGAUAUGACAUAGAACACCAAUUGCGAAGGCAGCUGGCUACACGAAUAUUGACACUGAGGCUCGAAAGCGUGGGGAUCAAACAGG